ACGUAGGUGGCAAGCGUUGUCCGGAAUUAUUGGGCGUAAAGCGAGCGCAGGCGGUUGUUCAAGUCUGAUGUGAAAGGUCACAGCUCAACUGUGGACGUGCAUUAGAAACUGAAUAACUUGAGUGCUGAAGAGGGCAGUGGAACUCCAUGUGUAGCGGUGGAAUGCGUAGAUAUAUGGAAGAACAUCAGUGGCGAAGGCGGCUGCCUGGUCAGUAACUGACGCUGAGGCUCGAAAGCGUGGGUAGCAAACAGG
RNAcentral lists this ribosomal RNA (252 nucleotides) under uncultured bacterium. RNAcentral's name for it is "partial 16S ribosomal RNA". It matches the Rfam family "Bacterial small subunit ribosomal RNA", at positions 525 to 776 of the family's 1533-position model. The record is from RNAcentral.